GAACUUAAGCAUAUCAAUA
This 19-nucleotide ribosomal RNA is filed under the name Chaetomium coarctatum. RNAcentral describes it as "partial 28S ribosomal RNA". Lineage: Eukaryota; Fungi; Ascomycota; Sordariomycetes; Sordariales; Chaetomiaceae. The record is from RNAcentral.